CUGUAAUGGCUGUUUCACAUUAAGUUGCUUUGUAGAAUUAUAAAACAGCUGUUCUUCUGCUUUCAAAUAAAAUGUUGUCAUCUGCUAAUGAAUGAGAUACCAUCUGUAAUAAUUAAGGUUAUUCUACUUGUUUUUCCCCUGCAGCAAAACUUCAGAAGGUUUGCAGAAGACAAUAAGAGAACCACCAAGAAGGCUAUUGCAGUGUUGUUUUGUCAGAACAUACAAAUAGCUGUGAUGAAAAAAGUGAGGAAAGGAAACUAG
RNAcentral lists this long non-coding RNA (261 nucleotides) under Chloebia gouldiae (Gouldian finch). RNAcentral's name for it is "Erythrura gouldiae (Gouldian finch) lncRNA (ENSEGOG00005002660.1)". Lineage: Eukaryota; Metazoa; Chordata; Aves; Passeriformes; Passeridae. The record is from RNAcentral.